Long non-coding RNA from Neopelma chrysocephalum (saffron-crested tyrant-manakin), 552 nucleotides. RefSeq lists it as uncharacterized. The record is from RefSeq and is a predicted model, not a curated record. NCBI's taxonomy places the organism in Eukaryota, Metazoa, Chordata, Aves, Passeriformes, Pipridae. The transcript is spliced from 2 exons.
GCUUUCCACAUCCACAAGUUAUUGGUGAAGCUUUGUGCAAACCAUUUGAUUUUUCCAUGCUUUAUCCAUCAGUUCCCUGUAAGUAAGUCAUAAAGACUGUCUUUCAAGGUUGCUGUCAUGAUAGAUCAAGAAAUACUAGGGAUUUGUCUGGGUCCUGCACUUAAAAUGAUGUUUUCACAUAACGUAUCUGGCACAAGAAUAAGCAGACUGUUUAAUACGAUCUUUUCUUAGUAAUCCUACAGAAUAGAUGCCUGAAUUAUACUGUAAUCUGCUGCUGCAAGACUUUAGGUAAACUGGUGCUGCAGCUGAAUCCAAACAAGCACUGUUUUACAGCUGCUGGAACUGAAGAAGUGCAGGCAGAUCUAUGCUGCAGGCAGUUUCACCAUGAAAUGUCACGAGCUCCUUGAACCAUCAGUGCGCUCUGCUUUCCGUUGCAGGUCACUGCCUGUCACAGGCUUCUUGUCCUGCUUGGCUCCGCUCCUGGGCUAAUCCUACCACUUGGCAUCACUGUUUGCUCACUGCCCUUCAUCCAGGAAAAUCAGUAAAAAAUUU